CGCUCUUCGUAAAGGGUUCUGAUAUAUGAGGAGUCCUGCCUGCCCAGUGACUUUUAGUUAAACGGCCGCGGUAUUUUGACCGUGCAAAGGUAGCAUAAUCAUUUGCCUCUUAAAUAGAGGCUGGUAUGAAUGGCAAGACGGGGGUUUAACUGUCUCUCUCUUAAGGGGUAGUUGAAUUUAAUUUCUUUGUGAAGAAGCAAAGAUUAGGUCGUAGGACGAGAAGACCCUGUCGAGCUUAAAUAAUGGCAGCAAGUACUGGAAGUAUUGUUAUACUAAUUUUCGUUUUAUCUAGGGCGGUUGUUUUUAUGUAAGGUAUGAGUGUGCUGUGCUGUUUUUGUUUUGAUUGGGGCAAUCGCGGAGAAAAUAUAGCCUCCGUUAUAAAGUUAAUAUUUUAAAGUAACCUCUUUGCAAUGUAUCUUAUACAUAUUUUAGAUCCACAUUUAGUGAGCAAAGGAACAAGUUACCGCAGGGAUAACAGCGUAAUUUUUUUGGAGAGUUCAUAUUGAUAAAAAAGUUUGCGACCUCGAUGUUGGAUCGGGAUGUCCAGGAGAUGCAGCAGUUUCCAAGGGUUGGUCUGUUCGACCAUUAAAAUCCU
Molecule: ribosomal RNA, 595 nt
Filed under: Ceramaster arcticus
Lineage: Eukaryota; Metazoa; Echinodermata; Asteroidea; Valvatida; Goniasteridae
Description: partial 16S ribosomal RNA
Rfam family: Bacterial large subunit ribosomal RNA
Source: RNAcentral